RNAcentral lists this non-coding RNA (307 nucleotides) under Ixodes scapularis (black-legged tick). RNAcentral describes it as "Eukaryotic small subunit ribosomal RNA". It matches the Rfam family "Eukaryotic small subunit ribosomal RNA", at positions 1362 to 1607 of the family's 1831-position model. The record is from Rfam by way of RNAcentral. Lineage: Eukaryota; Metazoa; Arthropoda; Arachnida; Ixodida; Ixodidae.
CAUCAUCUCCGCCGAUCCACAAGGGGUCCGCGAAACAUCGAUGGUUGAGAACCACUGCUCUAGUCUAUUAAAUAGGUGCGUGGUUCUCUGCACCUUGCACCCUUCUUAGAGGGAAAAGUGGCUCCCAGUCGCACGAAACAGAGCAAUAACAGGUCUGUGAUGCCCUUAGAUGUCCGGGGCCGCACGCGCGCUACACUGAAGGAAACAGCGUGUCUUUAUUUUUGUCUGUUAAAACAAUAAGCUUAGAAAAAAGUGACUUCAGCAAAUACAGAGGGAAUUGAAGUCCAUCUGAUUACCCCCGAGCAAG